Molecule: ribosomal RNA, 740 nt
Filed under: uncultured bacterium
Lineage: Bacteria
Description: bacterial SSU rRNA
Rfam family: Bacterial small subunit ribosomal RNA
Source: RNAcentral
AGAGUUUGAUCAUGGCUCAGAACGAACGCUGGCGGCAGGCUUAACACAUGCAAGUCGAGCGCCUCGCAAGAGGAGCGGCAGACGGGUGAGUAACGCGUGGGAAUCUACCCAUCACUACGGAACAACUCCGGGAAACUGGAGCUAAUACCGUAUACGACCGAGAGGUGAAAGAUUUAUCGGUGAUGGAUGAGCCCGCGUUGGAUUAGCUAGUUGGUGGGGUAAAGGCCUACCAAGGCGACGAUCCAUAGCUGGUCUGAGAGGAUGAUCAGCCACAUUGGGACUGAGACACGGCCCAAACUCCUACGGGAGGCAGCAGUGGGGAAUAUUGGACAAUGGGCGCAAGCCUGAUCCAGCCAUGCCGCGUGAGUGAUGAAGGCCUUAGGGUUGUAAAGCUCUUUCACCGGAGAAGAUAAUGACGGUAUCCGGAGAAGAAGCCCCGGCUAACUUCGUGCCAGCAGCCGCGGUAAUACGAAGGGGGCUAGCGUUGUUCGGAAUUACUGGGCGUAAAGCGCACGUAGGCGGACAUUUAAGUCAGGGGUGAAAUCCCAGAGCUCAACUCUGGAACUGCCUUUGAUACUGGGUGUCUUGAGUAUGGAAGAGGUGAGUGGAAUUCCGAGUGUAGAGGUGAAAUUCGUAGAUAUUCGGAGGAACACCAGUGGCGAAGGCGGCUCACUGGUCCAUUACUGACGCUGAGGUGCGAAAGCGUGGGGAGCAAACAGGAUUAGAUACCCUAGUAGUCC